AAAGACCUUAUGCUUUUGGAGCGGCCGAUGUCUGAUUAGCUAGUUGGUGGGGUAAUUGCCUACCAAGGCGACGAUCAGUAGUUGGUCUGAGAGGACGGCCAGCCACACUGGGACUGAGACACGGCCCAGACUCCUACGGGAGGCAGCAGUGGGGAAUUUUGGACAAUGGGCGCAAGCCUGAUCCACCAAUGCCGCGUGAGUGAAGAAGCCCUUCGGGUUGUAAAGCUCUUCCAGUUGAGAAGAAAAGAUUGUAACUAAUAAUUCCAGUUCAUGACGGUAUCAACAGAAGAAGCCCCGGCUAACUACGUGCCAGCAGCCGCGGUAAUACGUAGGGUGCGAGCGUUAAUCGGAAUUACUGGGCGU
Molecule: ribosomal RNA, 363 nt
Filed under: uncultured beta proteobacterium
Lineage: Bacteria; Pseudomonadati; Pseudomonadota; Betaproteobacteria
Description: bacterial SSU rRNA
Rfam family: Bacterial small subunit ribosomal RNA
Source: RNAcentral